Molecule: ribosomal RNA, 434 nt
Filed under: uncultured bacterium
Lineage: Bacteria
Description: bacterial SSU rRNA
Rfam family: Bacterial small subunit ribosomal RNA
Source: RNAcentral
ACUCCUACGGGAGGCAGCAGUGGGGAAUAUUGCACAAUGGGCGCAAGCCUGAUGCAGCCAUGCCGCGUGUGUGAAGAAGGCCUUCGGGUUGUAAAGCACUUUCAGUCGUGAGGAAGGUAGUGUAGUUAAUAGCUGCAUUAUUUGUACGUUAGCGACAGAAGAAGCACCGGCUAACUCCGUGCCAGCAGCCGCGGUAAUACGGAGGGUGCGAGCGUUAAUCGGAAUUACUGGGCGUAAAGCGCAUGCAGGUGGUUUGUUAAGUCAGAUGUGAAAGCCCGGGGCUCAACCUCGGAAUAGCAUUUGAAACUGGCAGACUAGAGUACUGGUAGAGGGGGUUAGAAUUUCAGGUGUAGCGGUGAAAUGCGUAGAGAUCGUGAAGGAAUACCGGUGGCGAAGGCGGCCCCGUGGACAGAUACUGACACUCAGAUGCGAAA